UCUUCAUAGAGUUUUGGGAAGACUGAGGUAAUCGCUGCUGAAGUCAGUAUUGUAAUGGUGAAUCGAGAUUUUUAAUGAAGUGGGUUUGAAUACUCUUGACUGUUUUGUAAAAUCGAGUUACGUCUGUGAUUGAAGGAUUAAAAGGGUGUCUAUAGGAUUGAGUAUGCGGAGUGAAUGAAAUUUAUUGGGUUAAUCUAACAAGACAGUCAGUGGAUACAAGAUCGUAAUUACAAAGCGGUAUUGAAGAUUAACAGUUUG
Molecule: long non-coding RNA, 258 nt
Filed under: Physcomitrium patens
Lineage: Eukaryota; Viridiplantae; Streptophyta; Bryopsida; Funariales; Funariaceae
Description: long non-coding RNA (PPAT_LNC010635)
Source: RNAcentral